This 869-nucleotide ribosomal RNA is filed under the name bacterium. RNAcentral's name for it is "bacterial SSU rRNA". It matches the Rfam family "Bacterial small subunit ribosomal RNA", at positions 23 to 873 of the family's 1533-position model. The record is from RNAcentral.
CGUCAGACGAACGCUGGCGGCGUGCCUAAUACAUGCAAGUCGAGCGGACAGAUGGGAGCUUGCUCCCUGAUGUUAGCGGCGGACGGGUGAGUAACACGUGGGUAACCUGCCUGUAAGACUGGGAUAACUCCGGGAAACCGGGGCUAAUACCGGAUGGUUGUUUGAACCGCAUGGUUCAAACAUAAAAGGUGGCUUCGGCUACCACUUACAGAUGGACCCGCGGCGCAUUAGCUAGUUGGUGAGGUAACGGCUCACCAAGGCAACGAUGCGUAGCCGACCUGAGAGGGUGAUCGGCCACACUGGGACUGAGACACGGCCCAGACUCCUACGGGAGGCAGCAGUAGGGAAUCUUCCGCAAUGGACGAAAGUCUGACGGAGCAACGCCGCGUGAGUGAUGAAGGUUUUCGGAUCGUAAAGCUCUGUUGUUAGGGAAGAACAAGUACCGUUCGAAUAGGGCGGUACCUUGACGGUACCUAACCAGAAAGCCACGGCUAACUACGUGCCAGCAGCCGCGGUAAUACGUAGGUGGCAAGCGUUGUCCGGAAUUAUUGGGCGUAAAGGGCUCGCAGGCGGUUUCUUAAGUCUGAUGUGAAAGCCCCCGGCUCAACCGGGGAGGGUCAUUGGAAACUGGGGAACUUGAGUGCAGAAGAGGAGAGUGGAAUUCCACGUGUAGCGGUGAAAUGCGUAGAGAUGUGGAGGAACACCAGUGGCGAAGGCGACUCUCUGGUCUGUAACUGACGCUGAGGAGCGAAAGCGUGGGGAGCGAACAGGAUUAGAUACCCUGGUAGUCCACGCCGUAAACGAUGAGUGCUAAGUGUUAGGGGGUUUCCGCCCCUUAGUGCUGCAGCUAACGCAUUAAGCACUCCGCC